CGGAGGAAAAGAAACUAACAAGGAUUCCCCUAGUAGCGGCGAGCGAAGCGGGAAAAGCCCAAUGUGAAAAGCCAGCUUGCUGGCGUUGUAGUCGAGCGACCUUGGAGUGUCAGUGUGGGUAAGUGGCAUGGAAAUGUCCGCCGUGGAGGGUGAAAGCCCCGUCCAUCCCAUUCAGGACACUUCGUACAAGGGCGUUUCAACCGAGUCGGGUAGCUUGGGAAUGCUGCUCUAAUUGGUGGUAAAUCUCAUCAAAGGCUAAAUAAAGGUGGGAGACCGAUAGCGAACAAGUACCGUGAGGGAAAGAUGACAAGCACUUUGAAAAGAGGGUGAAAAGAGCCUGAAACCGUUACGAAGGAAGCGGAUUGCGUUGGAUUGAUGGCCUGUUGCGUGUUCAGCCGUUUUGGUGUACUCACGCGAUAUUUUGGUUAUCCGUCGUGGCUUUUUGGCGGCAGAAGAUGUGCUGCUAGAGAGUGAGGGCUCCCCGCAAGGGUUUGAGAGGACGACGGAGUGACGACGCAAUACGACCCGUCUUGAAACACGGACCAAGGAGUCUAGCGCAGAUGCGAGUCGGAGGGUGUCAAAAACCCGUGGGCGAAGUGAAAGCGAGUUUUUUUUUGUAAUGAAAAAUGUUAAAACGAGCAGUUUGGGGCGGCAUAAAAUCGAUGAUUUUAGGUCUGACCUUGAGCAGUUGCGCUGGGACCCGAAAGAUGGUGAACUAUGCCGGAGUAGGGCAAAGCCAGAAGAAAUUCUGGUGGAGGCUCGUAGCGGUGCUGACGUGCAAAUCGCUCGUCCAACUUGGGUAUAGGGGCGAAAGACUAAUCGAACCAUCUAGUAGCUGGUUCCCUCCGAAGUUUCUCUCAGGAUAGCGGGCCGACAUUUUAUGUUGUUUUGUGCGGUAAAGCGAAUGAUUAGCGCAUUCGGGGGCGUUUAGCCUUUGGGCGAUUCUCAAACUUUCAAUGCGCAAGGGUACCGGUGCUUUGUUGAGCGGUACCGAUAAAAACGUCGGCCUCGUGGGCCACUUUUGGUAAGCAGAACUGGCGAUACGGGAUGAACCGUAAGCAAUGGUUAAGGCGCCAAAUUGCCCGCUUAUAGAUCCCACAAAAGGUGUUGAUUCAUCGAGACAGCAGGACGGUGGCCAUGGAAGUCGGAAUCCGCCAAGGAGUGUGUAACAACUCACCUGCCGAAUGAAUUAGCCCUGAAAAUGGAUGGCGCUAAAGCGGGCAGCCGACACCAUGCCGUCUGGAAAAGAUACGAGUUUCAGAUGAGUAGGAGGGCGUGGUGGCCGUGUCGAAGUAUGCGUGCAGACGCGUAUGGAACGGCCACUAGUGCAGAUCUUGGUGGUAGUAGCAAAUAUUCAAGCGAGAUCCUUGAAGGGCGAAGCGGGGAAGGGUUCCACGCAAACAUCGAUUGGGCGUGGGUGAGUCGUUCCUAAGCCGAGUGGCUAUUGCUAAGUAGCGGCGAAAGGGAAGCGGGUUGACAUUCCCGCACACGGAUGUGGAGGCGGUGACGCUUUAUUGUGGCGAACACGCUGGCGAUGGCGCUAGGCAGAGUUGUCUUUUCUGUUUGACCGCUUUUAUGCACACGGUGUGGAAUCCGCUUGUCGGGAGAAACACGUGUGUUGGGGCAGAGCGCCGGGGUUUUUCCGGCGUCUAGCUCGCCAUCGACGGCCCUUGAAACUUUGCCUGCUGGGUGUUUUUCAUGUGAAAACAUUUUAAAAUCCACGCCGUGGCGUACCGAUCACCGCAUCAGGUCCCCAAGGUGAACAGCCUCUGCUCCAUAUGAACAAUGCAGGUAAGGGAAGUCGGCAAAUUGGACCCGUAACUUUGGGAAAAGGGUUGGCUCUAGUGCUGCGUGGGAGUGGUUGUCGCGUGUUGCUGCUUCUAGGUGGUAUUGUGUGAGCGCAGACGGUGGGGCGCGGCGCAUGUGCGCGUGGGCUUGAGGGAGAUAGGGGAUUUUUCCGUUAUUUUUCUCCACGCGCCGGCGUUGUUGCCUUUUCCACUUUUUGUGUUUGCUCAGUGUGCCCGGUUGUGUCACGCUCGACGACGCCCACAGCAUGCAGCAGACUAGAACUGCAACGGGCAAAGGGAAUCCGACUGUUUAAUUAAAACAAAGCAUUGCGAGGGCCGUGGCCGGUGAUGACGCAAUGUGAUUUCUGCUCAGUGCUCUGAAUGUCAAAGUGAAGAGAUUCAAUCAAGCGCGGGUAAACAGCGGGAGUAACUAUGACUCUCUUAAGGUAGCCAAAUGCCUCGUCAUCUAAUUAGUGACGCGCAUGAAUGGAUUAACGAGAUUCCUACUGUCCCUAUCUGCUUCUAGCGAAACCACAGCCGAGGGAACGGGCUCGGCCAAAUCGGCGGGGAAAGAAGACCCUGUUGAGCUUGACUCUAUUCUAAUUUUGUGAAGCAAGCUGGGAGGUGUAGCAUAGGUGGGAGACUCUUCUGCUUUCGGGGGGAUUUGUCGAACGUGAAAUACCACUACUCCCAGUCUUGCUUUACUUACUGGGUGGGUGUGGAGUUGUCUUUAAAGACUUUAUUUUGGAAUCAACUCGGCGCGGCAAGCGCUGACGACCACAGCCCAGUACACAUUUAGGAGGGGAGUUUGGCUGGGGCGGUACAUCUUCUACAAGACAACGAAGGUGUCCAAAGAUAAGCUCAGUGAGAACAGAAAUCUCACGUAGCGCAAAAGGGUAAAAGCUUGUUUGAUUUUGAUUUUCAGUGCGAGUCAAAAACGCGAAAGCGUGGCCUAUCGAUCCUUUCACAUUUCGAGAUUUGAAGCGAGAGGUGUCAGAAAAGUUACCACAGGGAUAACUGGCUUGUGGCGGCCAAGCGUUCAUAGCGACGUCGCUUUUUGAUCCU
RNAcentral lists this ribosomal RNA (2852 nucleotides) under Lesleigha sp. 1Phil. Its description in RNAcentral is "LSU rRNA". It matches the Rfam family "Eukaryotic large subunit ribosomal RNA", at positions 51 to 2877 of the family's 3401-position model. Lineage: Eukaryota; Rhodophyta; Florideophyceae; Sebdeniales; Sebdeniaceae. The record is from RNAcentral. RNAcentral also lists the same sequence under 1 other name.